Molecule: ribosomal RNA, 37 nt
Filed under: Chama congregata
Lineage: Eukaryota; Metazoa; Mollusca; Bivalvia; Venerida; Chamidae
Description: partial 18S ribosomal RNA
Source: RNAcentral
UUAACAAACUCCGAACUCCGCCAGGAAAUUGGCUGGA